AACGAACGCUGGCGGCAUGCCUAACACAUGCCAGUCGAACGAGACGUCCGGGCCUUGUGGCGCACCGGUGCUUACCGCGUGGGAAGUUACCCUUAGGUACGGUAUCCCUCCCCGAAAGGGGUCUUCAUGCCGCAGAAUCUCUUCCGACCUAAGAUCUGGCGCUUCUUGAUGGGAGUGCGGUUGAUUAGCUUGUUGGUGGGGUAGUGGCUUACCAAGGCCUCGAUCGGUAGCUGGUCUGAGAGGAUGACAGGCCACACUGGGACUGAGAUAAGGCCCAGACUAGUACGCGAGGCAGCAGUGGGGAAUAUUGCAUAAUGGGCGGAAGCAUGACGCAGCAAAGCCGCGUGCGGGAUGACGGACUUCGGGUUGUAAACCGAUUUCGCCUGUCACGAAGCGUGAGUGACGGUAAUGGGUAAAGAAGCACCGGCUAACUACGUG
RNAcentral lists this ribosomal RNA (438 nucleotides) under uncultured bacterium. RNAcentral describes it as "partial 16S ribosomal RNA". It matches the Rfam family "Bacterial small subunit ribosomal RNA", at positions 29 to 507 of the family's 1533-position model. The record is from RNAcentral.